RNAcentral lists this ribosomal RNA (427 nucleotides) under uncultured bacterium. RNAcentral describes it as "partial 16S ribosomal RNA". It matches the Rfam family "Bacterial small subunit ribosomal RNA", at positions 355 to 774 of the family's 1533-position model. The record is from RNAcentral.
UGGGGAAUAUUGCACAAUGGGCGCAAGCCUGAUGCAGCCAUGCCGCGUGUAUGAAGAAGGCCUUCGGGUUGUAAAGUACUUUCAGCGGGGAGGAAGGCGAUGCGGUUAAUAACCGCGUCGAUUGACGUUACCCGCAGAAGAAGCACCGGCUAACUCCGUGCCAGCAGCCGCGGUAAUACGGAGGGUGCAAGCGUUAAUCGGAAUUACUGGGCGUAAAGCGCACGCAGGCGGUCUGUCAAGUCGGAUGUGAAAUCCCCGGGCUCAACCUGGGAACUGCAUCCGAAACUGGCAGGCUUGAGUCUCGUAGAGGGGGGUAGAAUUCCAGGUGUAGCGGUGAAAUGCGUAGAGAUCUGGAGGAAUACCGGUGGCGAAGGCGGCCUCCUGGACAAAGACUGACGCUCAGGUGCGAAAGCGUGGGGAGCAAACA